GGGGGUGCAUUGGAAUUCGACUGGGAAAUGGGAAGGUAGCGCAGCAAGCUUGGGGUGAUUGAAGGGCCCAGUAAAAAAUCAAUCGAACUGUAAUUGCUAACAACAGCGAAUACAACCUGAACGAAGUGGCUCUAGCCGCUUAAGUUCAGCAAUCUGGCCCCGGACGCAAGUCUCGGGCUGGACGGGAGCAGACUGGACGCCUCGUAAGGCCUGUCUCUUGUAACUAAAACGAGGCUGGAUUCGGGUGGUGUCGAUACACCCCAAUCAAGAUCAAAAACGACUGGUCACCUCUGAGCCUGUCCGGCAGCAACAUGAGGGGGCGAGAUGCGAGAGACGGACUAAGCUUGUAGAAACCUAUCAGACCGCUCCACAGGACGGGGGUUCGACUCCCCCCACCUCCACCA
RNAcentral lists this transfer-messenger RNA (404 nucleotides) under Candidatus Lambdaproteobacteria bacterium RIFOXYD12_FULL_49_8. It matches the Rfam family "transfer-messenger RNA". Rfam says of the family: Bacterial tmRNA, also known as 10Sa RNA or SsrA, is named for its dual tRNA and mRNA-like properties. Its role is to liberate the mRNA from a stalled ribosome. To accomplish this part of the tmRNA is used as a reading frame that ends in a translation stop signal. RNAcentral also lists the same sequence under 1 other name. The record is from RNAcentral. Lineage: Bacteria; Pseudomonadati; Pseudomonadota; Candidatus Lambdaproteobacteria.